Molecule: ribosomal RNA, 479 nt
Filed under: uncultured bacterium
Lineage: Bacteria
Description: partial 16S ribosomal RNA
Rfam family: Bacterial small subunit ribosomal RNA
Source: RNAcentral
GAUGAACGCUAGCGGGAGGCCUAACACAUGCAAGCCGAGCGGUAGAGUCUCUUCGGAGACUUGAGAGCGGCGCACGGGUGCGGAACACGUGUGCAGCCUGCCUUUAUCUGGGGGAUAGCCUUUCGAAAGGAAGAUUAAUACCCCAUAAUAUACUGGAUGGCAUCAUCUGGUAUUGAAAACUCCGGUGGAUAGAGAUGGGCACGCGCAAGAUUAGAUAGUUGGUGAGGUAACGGCUCACCAAGUCAGCGAUCUUUAGGGGGCCUGAGAGGGUGAUCCCCCACACUGGUACUGAGACACGGACCAGACUCCUACGGGAGGAAGCAGUGAGGAAUAUUGGACAAUGGGUGAGAGACUGAUCCAGCCAUCCCGCGUGAAGGACGACGGCCCUAUGGGUUGUAAACUUCUUUUGUAUAGGGAUAAACCUAGAUACGUGUAUCUAGCUGAAGGUACUAUAAGAAUAAGCACCGGCUAACUCCGUG